Bombus impatiens (common eastern bumble bee) is the source of this 784-nucleotide long non-coding RNA. RefSeq lists it as uncharacterized. The transcript has 2 exons. The record is from RefSeq and is a predicted model, not a curated record. Lineage: Eukaryota; Metazoa; Arthropoda; Insecta; Hymenoptera; Apidae.
AGAAGCGGACUCAGACGGUAGUAGUAAAGCCCAGCUCGGGUCGGCCGAGCGCAAAUGUGCGCUCUACGUGCUGACAGCCGCGUUUCGUUCGAGCUGGUCUCACCUGAGAUCUCGUUCGCAGAUCACGAACAGCGUGUCUCUGAAGAAAGUAGUCGAAGGACCUUCGAACCGGGGAGAGAGAUGCGUCUGGCGUGACGGACGUCCGACGUACGGGAACCGUAUACAGGAGAGGACGUCUCUCCACCACAGUGAACAUCCCUUCGUUUCAGUGUGUGUCCGUCGUUCAGUUUCUCUCUCGCUCGCUCGGCUGUCUCGCUGAUUCUGUGUCUCUGCCUGUCUGUCUCUCUGUUACUCGUUGUUUGCGUCUCAGUCACGUACACACAUACACAUACGUAUCGUCUCUCCCUCUUUGUCUCUCUCUCGACGUCGUCCCUCUGUCGGCCCAUCGACAACGAGGGGAUAAAAGUGGCGCGAGCACGGGCAGACCCAGCCGGAGACUGGCGGCGUCCGAGGCACUGGCGGAGCUGGUGCACGAGAUCAGGAUGAAAUCGAGGAGCAAUAUAGCUAUAUCGAUCCUCCAUCAAGAUCGUCGAAGUUACGAGGUCGUUAGAGAAGGUACGUUCGUGUAAAGAUCUCGGCGAAAGUUUGUCAUUUGCUGGUGGAGGAUUUGACAGCCUGCGGCAGGGCAGGUCUCGAAGCGAAGAAAGGAGAAGGCAGGAAGCGGAGGUGAAACCAGGUACAAGCUACCAGGAAGGCCUAGCGCCUGGCUGUUUAGUGGCUGUUG